UACGGGGGGGGCAAGCGUUGUUCGGAAUUACUGGGCGUAAAGGGCUCGUAGGCGGCCAACUAAGUCAGACGUGAAAUCCCUCGGCUUAACCGGGGAACUGCGUCUGAUACUGGAUGGCUUGAGGUUGGGAGAGGGAUGGCGGAAUUCCAGGUGUAGCGGUGAAAUGCGUAGAUAUCUGGAGGAACACCGGUGGCGAAGGCGGCGAUCCUAGGCCAAUUCUG
RNAcentral lists this ribosomal RNA (221 nucleotides) under uncultured bacterium. RNAcentral's name for it is "partial 16S ribosomal RNA". It matches the Rfam family "Bacterial small subunit ribosomal RNA", at positions 524 to 742 of the family's 1533-position model. The record is from RNAcentral.